This 735-nucleotide ribosomal RNA is filed under the name uncultured Fusobacterium sp. RNAcentral describes it as "bacterial SSU rRNA". It matches the Rfam family "Bacterial small subunit ribosomal RNA", at positions 28 to 776 of the family's 1533-position model. Lineage: Bacteria; Fusobacteriati; Fusobacteriota; Fusobacteriia; Fusobacteriales; Fusobacteriaceae. The record is from RNAcentral.
GAUGAACGCUGACAGAAUGCUUAACACAUGCAAGUCAACUUGAAUUUGGGUUUUUAACUUAGGUUUGGGUGGCGGACGGGUGAGUAACGCGUAAAGAACUUGCCUCACAGCUAGGGACAACAUUUGGAAACGAAUGCUAAUACCUAAUAUUAUGAUAAUAGGGCAUCCUAUAAUUAUGAAAGCUAUAAGCGCUGUGAGAGAGCUAUGCGUCCCAUUAGCUAGUUGGAGAGGUAACGGCUCACCAAGGCGAUGAUGGGUAGCCGGCCUGAGAGGGUGAUCGGCCACAAGGGGACUGAGACACGGCCCUUACUCCUACGGGAGGCAGCAGUGGGGAAUAUUGGACAAUGGACCGAGAGUCUGAUCCAGCAAUUCUGUGUGCACGAUGAAGUUCUUCGGAAUGUAAAGUGCUUUCAGUUGGGAAGAAAAAAAUGACGGUACCAACAGAAGAAGUGACGGCUAAAUACGUGCCAGCAGCCGCGGUAAUACGUAUGUCACGAGCGUUAUCCGGAUUUAUUGGGCGUAAAGCGCGUCUAGGUGGUUAUAUAAGUCUGAUGUGAAAAUGCAGGGCUCAACUCUGUAUUGCGUUGGAAACUGUAUAACUAGAGUACUGGAGAGGUAAGCGGAACUACAAGUGUAGAGGUGAAAUUCGUAGAUAUUUGUAGGAAUGCCGAUGGGGAAGCCAGCUUACUGGACAGAUACUGACGCUGAAGCGCGAAAGCGUGGGUAGCAAACAGG